RNAcentral lists this transfer RNA (74 nucleotides) under archaeon. RNAcentral describes it as "tRNA-Lys". It matches the Rfam family "tRNA". From Rfam's summary of the family: Transfer RNA (tRNA) molecules are approximately 80 nucleotides in length. The record is from RNAcentral. RNAcentral also lists the same sequence under 3 other names.
GGGCCUGUAGCUCAGCUAGGCAGAGCAACGGACUCUUAAUCCGUGGGUCAAGGGUUCAAAUCCCUUCAGGCUCA